RNAcentral lists this ribosomal RNA (2291 nucleotides) under Triticum aestivum (bread wheat). RNAcentral describes it as "partial small subunit ribosomal RNA". Lineage: Eukaryota; Viridiplantae; Streptophyta; Magnoliopsida; Poales; Poaceae. The record is from RNAcentral.
AUGCUCAAGUUGCAGGAGGAGAAGAUGAUCCUUCUCCUUCCCUCCAUUCCUUCCCCACGAGCAAAGCUCCUCGUGCCAAUACUAGUUGUACUGAUGGCAGUUCAGCUCCUCGUGGCAACCGUAGCCGCCUUGCCGGGCUGCCCGAUGGCCUGCGGCAACGUCAUCGUCCCCUACCCUUUUGGCUUCCGACUAUGUUGCUUCCAAAGGAACUUCAACCUCACCUGCGACGAGACACACCACCCUCCGAAGCUGUUUCUCGGCGACGGCGUGGAAGUGGACGCCAUAUCCCUCUCGGAAGGCACCGUGCGUGUCCAGAGAAGGAUUCUGAGGUCUUACGAAAACAUGACGCGGCCGCAAUCUCUCGGCUUUGGCGCCGCAUGGCCCGACGCCGCCUGGCCCGGUCAGAAUACCGGAGUGCGGCUAGCGGUGUCAACUGAGCACAACGUCUUCGUGGUCAUCUGGUGCAGCCUCGUCGCCUACCUCAUCGCCCAACAAACAGUUACGAGCAAUGGAGACGGGGCUAAUGUUGGCGCAUGCGCUGCGCUGUGUAACUUCGGGAUUCCGGAUCCAGGCCACACCUCGUGCUCGGGCAUCGGCUGCUGCCGGACGACCAUCUCGCAGAGUCUGGCUGCGUACGGUGUCCAGUUCAAUCGGUUGGACGGCACUCCGUUCGGGGCUGCUCAUCCGUUCGGGGCUGCGUUCAUGGUCGAUCGUGGGUGGUUCACCGGGACCAACAUCGCAACCAUACAGAAUGCCACAUAUCAGGAUUUGGGUAGCUAUGCCAACGUCACCAGCAUACCCACGGUGCUGGAAUGGUGGCUGGAUGUGGAAGCCGAUCGUGACCUGCUCGUGAGGGAUCUCGGUUCCGAGUCUGGUUGGAGAUGCAUAAGCUUGAACAACGUCGCUCUCAACGUUAGCAACCAUUACGGUGCAGUAAGUUGCAACUGCUCGAAUGGAUACGAAGGCAACUCUCACAUCGUUAAUGGAUGCCAAGAUAUCGACGAGUGCCUACAGCCUGAUGUAUGCCAGAACGGAACCUGCACCAAUAUGCCAGGGACAUACCAAUGUUCAGCGAAAAAAAGUGCCAGCCGCCUCCCAGGUUUGAUUACCAUAAUUGCAAUUAGUGUGGGUUUUGGCAUAGUGUUUUCUCUUCUGGGUAUUUCCAAAAUCACCAAUAAAUUUAAGCAAAGAAGAGCCAAGAAUUUGAGACAAAAGUUCUUCAAGAAAAAUCAUGGAUUGCUUCUGCAACAGCUAAUCUCUUCAAACCAAGAUAUAGCGGAAAGAAUGAGGAUUUUGAGUUGGACCAAGCAACCAACAAAUUUGACCAUAAUCGCAUCCUUGGUGGCGCUGGCCAUGGCACAGUGUACAAAGGCAUCUUAUCUGAUCAGCGUAUUGUUGCCAUUAAGAAGGCCAAAAUUGUUGUUCAAAGGGAAAUCGACCAGUUUAUCAACGAGGUUGUCAUACUUUCACAGACAAACCAUAGGAAUGUGGUGAAGCUCUUUGGGUGCUGCCUAGAGACAGAGGUUCCUCUACUUGUUUAUGAGUUCAUAUCGAACGGAACUCCCUCAUUUCAUGUCCAUGGCCAAAGUGAGAACCCAUUAUCAUGGAAAGAUAGGAUGAGGAUUGCACUGGAAACUGCAAGGGCCAUUGCAUAUCUACACUCUGCUGCUUCAAUAUCAGUAUACCACAGAGAUAUCAAAUGUGCAAAUAUACUACUUACUGAUACUUUAACAUCAAAAGUAUCAGAUUUUGGAGCUUCAAGGUCAAUUGCAAUAGAUGAGACAGGAAUACUUACAGCUGUUCAAGGAACCCAUGGUUACCUUGAUCCUGAAUACUACUACACUAGUCGACUCACGGAGAAAAGCGAUGUUUAUAGCUUUGGUGUCAUCCUAGCAGAGUUACUGACAAGGGUGACACCAGUUUUUCAUUCCCAUUCGUCAGAAGUCACAAGCCUAGCAUCGCAUUUUGUGUCUCUUAUAAGGGACAAUCGAUUAUUAGAUAUUCUAGAUACACAAAUUGUUGAGGAGGGAGGGGUUGAAGAUGCUCAGGUGGUUGCAAGACUGGCAGAAGCAUGCUUAAGUUUAAAAGGUGAAGAAAGGCCUACAAUGAGACAAGUGGAGACAACACUUGAGGAUGUCCAGAACUCAACAGUCAAUCUUAGUUCUCAGAUCACAAGAGUGAACCGCAAUGCUAUAAAUGAUCAGUCAUACAAGGGAAGCAAAGGCGGAGAAGGAACCAGGUUGUACAGCUUGGAAAAAGAGUUCAUCCAAUCAUCUGAAAUUCCAAGAUGA